CGAAUAACUUCUCUCGUCAAGCCCUCAACAGCUGCUGCGAGUCCAUGAGGAACUCUAGGAGCUAUGACGAGGUCUCCCGAAGGAGCCUGAAGAUCCCGCCUCGCCAUUCCUUGCAUACUAAAGGGAAAAAUUUACAGGAACGACGUCCGUAAAUCGUUCAUGGCGAUGUUACUCAUGAGAUAAUGAGUAAAGAAUUUCACCAAACUUUCAACUAUGGAUGUAUCGAACUCAAUAUUCGAAUUGGAAAUGAAAAAUGUAUACGAAAACUGGACUUAUGCCGAGUUGGUGAAAACUGUACCUGUAGGUGAGUGACAGAUGAACGAUAUUAACGGGAUACCCUGAGAUUUCCUGCAGACGCUGCCUGAGAGACGCACUUUGACCUGUGCAACGUUUAGAUAUUCGUCGGUCUGACGACCGCGAAACCAGCAGC
Molecule: long non-coding RNA, 430 nt
Organism: Athalia rosae (coleseed sawfly)
Lineage: Eukaryota; Metazoa; Arthropoda; Insecta; Hymenoptera; Athaliidae
Exons: 3
Source: RefSeq, a predicted model, not a curated record